CCUACGGGGGGCUGCAGUGGGGAAUAUUGGACAAUGGGCGAAAGCCUGAUCCAGCCAUGCCGCGUGUGUGAAGAAGGCCUUCGGGUUGUAAAGCACUUUCAGUGGGGAAGAAAGCCUUGGGGCUAAUACCCUCGAGGAAGGACAUCACCCACAGAAGAAGCACCGGCUAACUCCGUGCCAGCAGCCGCGGUAAUACGGAGGGUGCGAGCGUUAAUCGGAAUUACUGGGCGUAAAGCGCGCGUAGGCGGUUUGAUAAGCCGGUUGUGAAAGCCCCGGGCUCAACCUGGGAACGGCAUCCGGAACUGUCAGGCUAGAGUGCAGGAGAGGAAGGUAGAAUUCCCGGUGUAGCGGUGAAAUGCGUAGAGAUCGGGAGGAAUACCAGUGGCGAAGGCGGCCUUCUGGACUGACACUGACGCUGAGGUGCGAAAGCGUGGGUAGCAAACAGGAUUAGAUACCCUGGUAGUC
Molecule: ribosomal RNA, 465 nt
Filed under: Vreelandella stevensii
Lineage: Bacteria; Pseudomonadati; Pseudomonadota; Gammaproteobacteria; Oceanospirillales; Halomonadaceae
Description: partial 16S ribosomal RNA
Rfam family: Bacterial small subunit ribosomal RNA
Source: RNAcentral